RNAcentral lists this unclassified non-coding RNA (206 nucleotides) under Hevea brasiliensis (rubber tree). The record is from RNAcentral. Lineage: Eukaryota; Viridiplantae; Streptophyta; Magnoliopsida; Malpighiales; Euphorbiaceae.
GCAGGAACUUCAACUUAUUCUCCAUAAUCUGAUUGCUGAAGAUAUGGUAGUAAAUGAAGCUUUUCAAAUGUCUGCAAUGAUCGAGAAGUUGCCUCCUUCGUGGAAUAAUUUCAAGAAUUAUCUAAAGCACAAGCGUAAAGAAAUGAAGCUUGAAGAUCUUGUGAUUCGUCUCAAGAUUGAGGGAGAUAACAGAAAUGCCGAAAAGA